This 138-nucleotide small nucleolar RNA is filed under the name Microcebus murinus (gray mouse lemur). The record is from RNAcentral. Lineage: Eukaryota; Metazoa; Chordata; Mammalia; Primates; Cheirogaleidae.
AACCUCCUGGAUGCGUCUGGAGAGUGGCUAGUAUUCUGCCCAGCUUCGGAACGAGGGAAAGCAAGCCCUAGCAGGUACCCAUUCCAUUCCCCAGCUUGCACGGUAGCUGGUGUAUUGGAAGACCUCUCGCCAACAAAG